Molecule: ribosomal RNA, 903 nt
Filed under: Triticum aestivum (bread wheat)
Lineage: Eukaryota; Viridiplantae; Streptophyta; Magnoliopsida; Poales; Poaceae
Description: partial small subunit ribosomal RNA
Source: RNAcentral
AUGGAUGAUCAUCAAGAGGAGGGGCCGGAGAAGGUGAAGCUUUUCGGCAUGUGGGCGAGCCCCUACGUGCUCAAGGUGAGAUGGGCGCUGAGCAUCAAGGGCGUGGAGUACGAGUACGUGGAGGAGGACCUGAGGAACAAGAGCAGCGACCUCCUGGAGCACAACCCCGUGCACAAGAAGGUCCCCGUGCUGCUCUACCGCGGCAGACCGGUGGCGGAGUCCGACGUCAUCGUCGAGUUCGUUGAUGAGGCGUGGAGCCACCGCGGCGGCCGCAUCCUCCCUGACGACCCCUACCAGCGCGCCAUGGCCCGCUUCUGGGUGAGGUUCGUGCAUGACAAGCUCUCGCCGCCGAUCUGGAAGUGGUUCACGGCGGCGCCAGGCGAGGGGCAGGAGGCCGCGCUGGGGGCCGCCGUGGAGCAGCUGCAGGUCCUGGAGGACUUGCUCGCCGUCGGCGGCAAGGAGUUCUUCGCCGGGGAGAGCGUCGGGCUCGUCGACCUGUCGCUGGGCGCGAUGGCAUACGUGGUCCCGAUGUACGAGGAGAUCAUCGGCGUGAGGCUGGUCACCGAGGAGAGGUUCCCGUCUCUGUCGGCGUGGAUGGGCCGAUUCUUGGACUCGCCGCCGGUGAAGGAUCACCCGCCGCCAGUGGAGAGGCUGAAACCCAGUUUCUGCCUGCCAGGGCCGGUGGUAUUGUUACUCCUUUCCAUGGUGAUGAACAUGAAAUUACUCGAUCCGCCAUUGGAGGAGGAACCAUCGGGGGAGGGAUCUGCGGGAGGAGGCUGUGUCGGCGGCGGGGUCGGACAUGGACUUGCGGGACUUGAGGAGUCGUGCGUGAUAUCGCUCAUAUCAUCAUGCACGGACCUAUGCGAGGGAAACGGAAGUUCCACCAAUUUAGGGAAUCGCUGA